Molecule: non-coding RNA, 104 nt
Organism: Acanthosepion pharaonis
Lineage: Eukaryota; Metazoa; Mollusca; Cephalopoda; Sepiida; Sepiidae
Source: the annotation of a GenBank genome assembly
AGCACGUUGAAACAUCAGUUUCCGUACGAUCACCGAAGUUAAGCGAUGUCGAACCUGGUUAGUAUCUAGAUGGGUGACCGCUUGCGAAUACCAGGUACUGUAAG